GGGUUUCACCAGAAGCAGGUAGUCUAACCGCAAGGAGGGCGCUUGCCACGGUGAGAUUCAUGACUGGGGUGAAGUCGUAACAAGGUAGCCGUAGGUGAACCUGCAGAAGGAUCA
This 114-nucleotide ribosomal RNA is filed under the name uncultured eukaryote. RNAcentral's name for it is "partial small subunit ribosomal RNA". It matches the Rfam family "Bacterial small subunit ribosomal RNA", at positions 1412 to 1525 of the family's 1533-position model. The record is from RNAcentral.